CGCGGCCGUUACGGGAGCGCAGCGGGCGCUGAGGGGGCCCCAUGGCUGCGUCGCUGGGGCCGCUGGUGGGAGCCAUCGAUCAGGGCACCAGCUCCACCCGCUUCCUGGUGUUUAAUGCAGGAACAGCAGAGCUCUUGAGUCACCAUCAAGUGGAACUAAAGCAAGAAUUCCCUAAAGAAGGAUGGGUGGAACAAGAUCCAAAGGAAAUAUUAGACUCUGUCCAUGAAUGUGUGGAAAGGACCUGUGAGAAAAUGAAAGAACUGAACAUAGACAUCGCUAACAUAAGAGCCAUUGGAGUCACCAAUCAGAGAGAAACAACAGUGGUUUGGGACAAGACAACUGGAGAACCUCUUUAUAAUGCUAUUGUGUGGCUUGACCUGAGGACCCAGUCAACUGUUGAACGUCUUCUUAAAAGAAUUCCUGGACAAAACAAAAAUUUUUUAAAGUCUAAGACCGGUCUUCCACUUAGCACUUACUUUAGUGCAGUGAAACUUCGGUGGCUCUUGGAUAAUGUGGAAGAGAUUAAGAAAGCAGUUGAGGAUGGAAGAGCUGUGUUUGGGACUAUUGAUUCAUGGCUUAUAUGGAGUUUGACAGGUGGAAUAAAUGGAGGCAUUCACUGUACAGAUGUCACCAAUGCCAGUAGAACAAUGUUGUUCAACAUUCAUUCCUUGGAAUGGGAUCCUGAGCUCUGCAAGUUCUUUGAAAUUCCUAUGGAAAUACUUCCAAACAUACGAAGCUCCUCUGAGAUUUAUGGUGUGAUGAAAAUCUGUCCUAGCCGGGAAUCUGGAGCUUUGACAGGUGUACCAAUUUCUGGGUGCUUGGGAGACCAGCAUGCUGCUCUUGUUGGGCAAAUGUGCUUUCAAGAUGGACAAGCAAAAAACACGUACGGAACAGGUUGUUUCUUGCUGUGCAACACAGGUCAGAAGUGUGUGUUUUCUGAGCACGGUCUUUUAACCACACUAGCUUACAAAAUGGGCAAAGACAAACCUGCUUUUUAUGCACUGGAGGGAUCUGUUGCAAUAGCUGGGGCUGUCGUUCGCUGGCUGAGGGACAAUCUGGGUAUUGCUAACUCUUCCCUGGAAGUUGAACAACUGGCUGCAGAGGUGGGAACUUCCUAUGGCUGCUACUUUGUGCCAGCAUUUUCAGGACUGUAUGCACCAUACUGGGAACCCAGUGCAAGGGGUAUCAUCUGUGGCCUUACUCAGUUUACAAAUAAAAACCACAUUGCCUUCGCUGCACUAGAAGCAGUCUGCUUUCAAACACGAGAGAUUCUAGAUGCUAUGAACAAGGACUGUGGGAUUCCACUAAGUCAGUUACAAGUAGAUGGAGGAAUGACCAGUAACAAAAUCCUCAUGCAACUUCAAUCAGACAUUCUCUGUAUUCCAGUAGUAAAGCCAUCAAUGGCUGAAACAACAGCUUUAGGAGCAGCUAUGGCAGCAGGAGCUGCAGAAGGUGUUGAAGUUUGGAGUCUGAAUCCUGAAGAUUUGACAGCAGUGACAUGGGAACGAUUUGAACCACAGAUAAACCCAGAGGAAAGUGAAUAUCGCUAUGCCAGGUGGAAGAAAGCUGUGAUGAAGUCUAUGGGAUGGGAGGCAUCUGACAGUACAGAUGGUAAACCAAAAAUUAAUGCAGGUCAAGUGUUAUUAAUUAGCCAGUUAACCUAGGGAGCUCAUCUUGCUUUUGUUGACCUUUUCUGUUCAUGCCAUCUCUGGACUAUUAUAGUGAUUUAAAGGUCAUUACUUAAAUCCGCUGUGGAAACAAAGCAGGAAAAUCUGGGUCUUCCUCCCGAAUAGCUGCAGGUUUUGCAGGAUGGCACUGGUUUGCAAAAGAAAAAAAUCUCACCUGCAAGACGAGAUACAGCACAAUGCUUAGAGCACAGGGACUUUGUAAACCUUCUUAUACCAUAACCUCAUGCUGCAAAGGAGAAAAGUUCCAUCCUGUGGUUUUGCUUGCUGUAUCUGCCUUCAUUAUUUGCUGUGUAGGAAGGAGGGAUUCAUAUCCAUAUUAAAAUCUAUUUGACCCAUAGAGGGUAAGAGCAAGGAGUUAUCAUAAAGUAAAGAAUUACACAGACCUAUUGUUUACAUACAGAAAGUAUGAAAACACUUCUGAGGGACUGAACAAGAAUUUUCUUCUGUAGUAGAGGGCUUUCUCAUCUGUCAUGUUUGAAUUAAUUAAGCCUGCAGUCUUCCUGUGAUCUAUAAUUUGAAUGUUUAUUUUAGUACUAUUUUGGGAUAAAUUUUUAGUCCUGAGUAAUAAUAUAACAUAUAAUUUAUGGGCUUUAUCAAUUAUAUUUAAUUUCCCUUUUAUUGGAAAAACUAUUAAAAUGAAAAGUAUUAAGUAAAGAAUCCUCAAAAUUUAAACUCCCUUCACAAUCCAUAAUCCACAGUUGGAGCCCUCAAGCUGCAUGUGGCCACUUCCUUCUUGAAAGCUAAAAUAUUCCUUUUGCCAUCCUAUAUGUUGGUUUAAAUAUUUUACUUAACACUGUGGUUUACAAGCAAUUCUGCCAAGGCUAUUGGGAAGGGAAACAGGUGAAUUAACAUGAGCAAUAUGAUUUCCUUCAGUAUUGACCUUUAUGAUUUAGUACCCUUACAUCUAACCUGAUGCUUAUCUUACUAGGAUAAAAAAUUCUGCCUUGCAGUAAAUAAAUCUAGAUGGUUUUUCUUCAGUUUAUGUGAAGAGAUAUGUUUAUCAAAACUUAAUUUAGUGAUUUUUCUGGUCUAACACCUGGGGGGCAAAUGUUAUUUUCCUUAGUUCUUUGAUACUUUAGGGCUAGGUUGGGAUUGGAGUAUACUAGAAAUGGGCUGAACCUGGAUUGUGCUGAUAGUGAAAUUUGGACUUGAACUCUUACAGAGAGAACCUAUUUUUAAUUAUUAUGGGGUUUAUGCAAAAUAUUUUUUUAGUUCUUCUGCCAAUGUCACUACAUUUGUUACUUUUUGCUUUUCAUAUAUAUUUAACACAUAUGCUGCAAUUUAUAUAUAUAUUUCUCUUUUGAUUUGCUUGACUGGAAACACCAUCCCUGGAUGCCAUCAGGUGAAUGAGGCUACUUCGUGGACUCACCGGAGGCAGCUGAUUUUUUGUUUCGGUUUGUUUUGUUGUCUGAAGAGAUUCCACCACCAACGUGAUUAUGCUGCUUUUGUGGUUAAAUAUAUUCACGAAUCCAUCUGUCACCAGUCUCUGCAUAACUUCCCUGUGGUGCACUGAAAAUUCAGUCUUCAGCCCUUCAUUACUCUGUUCCCUUACCCAAAUCAGCUCCAACUGCACUGGAAGCCUUUGUGUGGAUGAUCUCACAUCAUCCUCUAAAAUCUCACAAGCCCUAGCUUUGUCUGAGAAAGUGGUAUGACAAAACCCUGCAGUCUCUGAGGUAAUGAUGGCAGAUGUUUAGCUGUCCUUUUCAGGAGUUUGGUACUUCAUGCAACAUACUUCAGAAAGUUAAUGAUGCACUAUGGAACCUUAUUAACAUCCUACAAUUCUUCCAGCUGCUGUGAAUUACUUUUCAUAUGCCAAUGGUUGCCAAAGAUGUUUUAUUGUAGUUGCCACUGGUGUGAAACAUCUUCCAUGGUACAAACCUUUUGAACACUAGCCCAAGAUGGAUAACCAUAGCACACAUUGCCUCUGUUUUGGCCAUGAGAAGUUUGCUGCUAUGGUCCACAGAGUAUUGCUGAAACACACAGUUGCAAGGUUAAAAAGUUGGGUUUGGUUCUGACACAUGAAGUCACUUGGCCCAUCGUAAGUAUUUAUGACACUAAAUUCUGUAGCUGUACCUUUAAAGAGAUAAGAGAAAAUAGUGUUUUGGUUAAGGCCAUGUUUCAUCCUGUGGUUUUGGGCUAGCUUGGAAAGACAAGUUUGGUACAGCAUGCUAUUGACAGGACAGCUGCUUGAUAACUCAGCAACUGAUAACUUUUCAAACUACUCUGGACAGUGCACUUUCCUUGACCAAUACUGCAUAUAUCCUGUCAUCCUGCUUAAGUGACUAUUUGUUAAACUUUAGAAAGUUGAAGCUAACUUAGUUUUCAUUGAAGAGGGUCCACUCCAAACUAAAUAUCAGUGCUUUAGUUCUUGAUUUCAUUUAGUAUAUCUCAGGGACCAAAAUCUCCCUUUCUGUUUCCUUGUCCAUAGUUUUAACUGCAAGUUGUUGCAAAAUAUGCUGGUACAAUCCAAAACCCUGACUCAGUAGACUAAGUACUGGCACCUGAAAUGGGCUACUGGAAUUUACAGACAAUGGUGACAGCUGAAUCCCAUCCACUUUGAAAUCCUUUGUUUUCCACAUGAAAGGAGUGAGGUAAUAAUCUUAUCUUUGGCUUUCCUGUUUGUACCAACAGCAUCCUAAAUGCCAGCCUUAUUGGUUAGGUCAAGGACAAGGUGUUCUUGUGUAGUUAUGUUAGACCAGUAUGGAAUGGCAGCAAGGUUAAAUGUGGGAACAACACAGAGAAUUUCAAAGAUGUGUUUAAAUGCACUAGGAGUUAAAGGGAGGGGUUUUUUGUGUGCAUUUGUUCUUAAAGAUUUUUGUCUUUAACAAAGUUUUUCUUUGAUUAGAGGCUUAGUUUUUAAAAGGAUGUUAUAUGUCUGAAGCAAUGAAUUGCACAGAAGUUCAGGUCUGUACAAUAUAGUUAAUAUCAAAUGCAUAUUAAUUGCCUUUUUAUUGUCAAGUGCAAUGACUUUUGAAAAUGUGACUUUUAACUUAGAAGAUAGAGAUGGAACACUUUUUUGUCCUGUGGUUGCAUGUAUAACUUCAGCAGAGAGAAGGGAUUUUGUAUACAAGUGAAAAUAUAACAGCAUCCUUCAAAUCCUGUCUCUCCUGUAAACACUCACAUGUGAAGCGUGACAGCCAAAAUUUCUGGUGUUUCCAGUUUGUAUUGGAGAGGUGAAGAGUAAAAAAAGAAUGUGAUCCCAUAGAAAAAAUCUCAUAUUCCUUACCUUUACUCUGAGCUGUUUCUGAUCCCACUGUACCCUGAGGAAGAGGAAUGGAGCAGCUGUGGAGCACAGGGAGCAGGGGCAGCACACACCUCAACCUCUGGACUUCGGAAUACAACCUCUGAGUCUUGCCAAAACCACUGAAGUGCUGGACCUGGGAACGAAUAAUGCUGAAGUGUGGCCUUUGCCUAUGAUAAAUGUGGCAGGGCAAAGCUUGUACCUGACAAGUAGGAGAGGGAAUUUUUGCUGCUUUUCUGACUUAUCUUUUACUGGGAAACACAAUUCCUAUUAAUUUUUCACUGAGUAAAAAUCAUUAUUUUAUUUUCAAUUGCUGUUGCAAAUGUUUUUUAAGAGUUUCACCACUGUUAACUUUCUACCAACAUAGUUGAAAUUUAUUGUAAACUGUUUGUUGGCGGGGAGGGGACAAACUGUUAAAGUUAGCUUUUUCUGAAGCUGUGAUUUAUUUUUUUUUUUAUGAAUUACCAGUUUAUAAAUUCUUAAUUGAGAAAUGCAUUAACUUGGUAUUAAAGUACCAUAAAUUAAUUGA
This is an RNA transcript of Melozone crissalis (California towhee), 5458 nucleotides long. It is a transcript of the gene named glycerol kinase, with no coding region annotated. The transcript is spliced from 20 exons. The record is from RefSeq and is a predicted model, not a curated record. NCBI's taxonomy places the organism in Eukaryota, Metazoa, Chordata, Aves, Passeriformes, Passerellidae.